AAAAAAAAAAAAAAAAAAAGGAAGGGAUUCUCAUUGCAGAACAACGGUAGAAGUGCGAUCUUCGCAAAAACACCAGCAGAAAGUAUGGUGGCACAAGUGUAAAUUACAACAGAGCUGUCCUGUUUAAAAGACCAGGAACUAUCUCUCUGUUCAAUCCAGUAGCCAUUUCUCUCUCUCUCUCUCUUUCAGAAAAUGACUCCUACCCAUACUCAACUCACUAUACAAGGCAAUCCUAAGAUACUUCCAAGAGUAUCAGAAGAACACUCCAGAUAAAAGAAGAAGAAGAAAGGCCCUGCAACAAAUACAGAGGCAGCAACAGACUACUAGUGCGCACCAUUGCAGUUGCUAUAUAUGCCAUCGGAUGCGAUUUUUGCAAACUUUGCAACAUUUCCAUUUUGGUAAACAUUUACUUUUUGUAUUUGAAUUCCAUUGCCUAUUCCAGUGGGAACCUUGUGGCCUUGCAAUAGAGCAUCUAAUUGCCCACAUGCUGCUGAUAUUAGCCCUGUAUUUGGAUGAAAAUACAUUAUAAGCAUGCAUGUUCAAAAUGAGAAAUCUAAGAGACAAACAGCAGUCCAUAUCAAGUUAGGUUCUCCAAAUUUCAAAUAGGACAAAAAAAGACUCAAACAAACAUGAAUUUUUAGGUUAUUUCACCCUUUUAACCAGUCGAGAAAAAAGAUGCAAAUGAUAUGAGGCCAUCUUCAAGUCCUGGGCAUAUAUCCUGUCACUAAGAAGAAAACACCAACUAGGACGCCAGUUUUCUGCAUUGUUGUAUUUUUCAUUAUAACUUAAAAAAUCUCAGAAUUCAGAAGCAAGAAUUGUCUACCUUAAUUGCUCGAAAAAACCCUUUACAUCCAAAUAAACCAAAAAAAUGAAAUGAAAUAGUUUUCUGCAUAAUCCCCUUCUCAAAAAUUGCAGUACAGAAUCAGUUUAUACGGGAGAUGAAGAAACAGCAGAUUUCUAAUAGAUGCAACUAGCAGAACACUCAAUAUAGGGAUGAAUGAGAGAGGUACCUAAGAAUAAUGCAGAAGGUUUUCCUGGUCUUGAUUUAAAUUCAGGAUGGAAUUGAACACCAAUAUAGUAAGGAUGAUUAGGCAGCUCAACAAUCUCCAUUCGCUGACCAGUUUCAUCUUUGCCCGUGAAUGAGAGUCCAGCAUCCUCCAGGCGAGAUACCAUAUCAGGAUUCACCUGCAUAGGAAUACUUUAUUACUUCUGAGCUACUACAGCUACUUGCAAGAUAAACAUGGACAUCUUCAUGCUGCAUACCUCAUAUCUAUGCCGAUGUCUCUCAUCAAUAAAACUUCUAUUACCACAUCUGAUAGAAUCCAUAUAACAAGGGUUAGCAGCCAUAGAGUUUAGACACAUAUUCAUAAAGAUAUCAGUAAUAUUAUUGUUAUUUGCUCACAUUCAGAAGUUCUGAUUCAUACAUGUUAACGAAAAUUUUCUCUCUGUUGUAGACAAAUAUAUGGAUAGAAGAACCUUGCAUUCUUAUCUUGUAUGAAUAUAAAUAUUUCCUUCAGCCACUCCAUAGUACUUACAAUUUAGCAGAUUUGCAUUCCAUGACUUGGAAAUAUGUCCUCCUUGACCCAAGACGCAUGGUGCCUCCCAUAUGGGUUUUAGAGCCCUCAGGCAUAAAGAUGACACAGGGAUUCUUAGUGUUAGGAUCAAAUUCCGUGCUGUUAGCAUCUAGCAAACCAAGAAUAGAUCGUGCAAAUUCAAUGACUGCAAUUUGCAUUCCCAGGCAAAUGCCAAGGAAUGGAACUCUAUUCUCUCUUGCAUACUUGGCUGCCAGAAUUUUCCCUUGCACACCUCUGUCACCAAAUCCUCCUGGAACAAGAAUGCCAUCUGCACCCUUUAACAAUUUCCAUGCAACCUUAUAAGCAUCAGGAUUCUCUUUUUCCAUUUCAUCCUCAAGAUCACAAGCUGGAACCCAAUCCACAACAAGUUUCUUAAAGCAAGCAACAGAUGCAUGCAGAAGAGCCUUUAUUACUGAUAAAUAGGAAUCUGUAAGACCUGUAUACUUCCCAACCAUGGCAAUUCUCACCGGUAUGUGCAACAUAUCACAGAUAUCAGCCCUAGAAGUCCACUCCUUUAAGCUAGGCUCCCUUGUAGAACCUUGAAGAUUCAGCACUCUCAAAAUUGCUUCGUGAGCCUUCUGAUCCUAAUUGAGAAGAAACAUAUCCACACACUAAUUGUAAGAAUUGGAAGCUACACGCUAAAAUAAAGUUCAAAAUUCCUCAAAAGAGUGCUUACUCUUAAAAGUAAAGGAAUGCGCCAGAUGUUGGGAACAUCAUAGAGAGUAAUGAUAUUUUCUGCCUGAAAGCAUAUGAUCUUAAUAAUCUUACAAACUAGAUGAGUAGAAGCUCAAGCAUAUUCAUUAAAAAAAUAAAAUAAACAGGUCUGUGCUUCUAAUCUAUGUACCGGGACAUGGCAAAACUGAGAGAUUUUCAUCUUUACAUUCUCAUCGAGUGGCUGCAAAAUGAAUUCAUAUUUAAAAUAUGAGGCAACCAUAAGUAUUCAUCUGUGUGUGUGAGUGUGUGCGUGUGUGUUUGAGAGAGAGAAAGAGAUACCAAUGUGCUGCGACAAGCUAAGAUAUUUGGCGUCAAUCCUAAACCUCUCAGUCCACGAACACUAUGCUGAGUUGGUUUGGUUUUCUGUUCACCAACAACAUUUAAAACAGGUACAAGGCUAACAUGAAUCAAGCAAAAGUUACUAGAUCCCACUCGAUAUGAGAACUGUCCUAGAGCCUCAAUAAAUGGCAUGGACUCGAUAUCUCCUAUAGUGCCACCCAAUUCGAUGACGCAAACAUCAGCAGGACCAGGCAUGCCAUCUACCGGUAUCAUAGCUACACGUUCAAUCCAUUCUUGAAUGGCAUCUGUAACAUGAGGUACAACCUGGACAGUCUUUCCCAGAUAAUCUCCCCUUCUUUCCUUAUCAAUAACAGCCUGGUAAAUUUUUCCAGUAGUAAUAUUAUUGUCUCUUGUCAACUUGAUAUCUAGAAACCGUUCAUAAUUUCCAAGGUCCAAGUCCACCUCUCCACCAUCAUCUAAGACAAAAACUUCCCCAUGUUCAAAAGGUGACAUUGUUCCAGCAUCACUGUUUAAGUAAGGAUCUAUCUUGAUGGAAGUAACACGAAGACCACAAGCCUUAAGAAGCACUCCAAUACUACUAGCCGUAACUCCUUUGCCCAGUCCGCUUACUACUCCGCCAGUCACCAACAAGUACUUCAUUUUCUUCAUUAUUUCCGUAUUUACACCACCUGAAUAAGAUCAGGAAGAAGAUUUGAUAGUUGCAGUCUUUGUAGGCUGUGCAGAGUCUACAAUCUAGCUAACUUUAUCUAUUUUAGCGGCUAAAUAUGAAAGAGUAGACACCAUGAAAAGAAAAACUUGCUUAAAUCAAGAAUCUGAAAGAACAAAGAAAGCAACACUGGAGAAGGAAAACUACGGCGAUAAUUCAGAUGAAGGAAAAGGGGAAGAUGGGUGAUAAAAGAAAAUUAAUGAAUGAGAUUGGCUACUCUUUGCGGCCUUUUAUAUACACUUGCCAACCCCCCAAGCGCCCU
RNAcentral lists this unclassified non-coding RNA (3556 nucleotides) under Hevea brasiliensis (rubber tree). The record is from RNAcentral. Lineage: Eukaryota; Viridiplantae; Streptophyta; Magnoliopsida; Malpighiales; Euphorbiaceae.